RNAcentral lists this ribosomal RNA (465 nucleotides) under uncultured bacterium. Its description in RNAcentral is "partial 16S ribosomal RNA". It matches the Rfam family "Bacterial small subunit ribosomal RNA", at positions 339 to 795 of the family's 1533-position model. The record is from RNAcentral.
CUACGGGUUGCUGCAGUGGGGAAUAUUGGACAAUGGGGGAAACCCUGAUCCAGCAAUGCCGCGUGUGUGAAGAAGGCCUGCGGGUUGUAAAGCACUUUCGGUUGGGAGGACUGCUUCUAGCACUAAUAUUGUUGGAAGUUGACGUUACCUUCAGAAGAAGCACCGGCUAACUCCGUGCCAGCAGCCGCGGUAAUACGGAGGGUGCAAGCUUUAAUCGGAAUUACUGGGCGUAAAGCGCGCGUAGGCGGCUAGAUCAGUCGGGUGUGAAAGCCCCGGGCUUAACCUGGGAACUGCAUCCGAUACUGUCUAGCUUGAGUACAGGAGAGGAGAGUGGAAUUCCACAUGUAGCGGUGAUAUGCGUAGAUAUGUGGAGGAACACCAAUGGCGAAGGCAGCUCUCUGGCCUGAUACUGACGCUGAGGCGCGAAAGCGUGGGGAGCAAACAGGAUUAGAUACCCUCGUAGUC